RNAcentral lists this small nucleolar RNA (82 nucleotides) under Propithecus coquereli (Coquerel's sifaka). RNAcentral describes it as "Small nucleolar RNA SNORA31 (ENSPCOG00000001141.1)". Lineage: Eukaryota; Metazoa; Chordata; Mammalia; Primates; Indriidae. The record is from RNAcentral.
CCACUACAGAUGCAAGAAAAAUGUCCUUGCGCUUUCUAUCUGCCUGAUUGUGGCAGCCAAGAUUGAAUAGAGGAAUACAGGG